This 74-nucleotide transfer RNA is filed under the name Camelus bactrianus (Bactrian camel). It matches the Rfam family "tRNA". Rfam says of the family: Transfer RNA (tRNA) molecules are approximately 80 nucleotides in length. Their secondary structure includes four short double-helical elements and three loops (D, anti-codon, and T loops). The record is from Rfam by way of RNAcentral. RNAcentral also lists the same sequence under 2 other names. Lineage: Eukaryota; Metazoa; Chordata; Mammalia; Artiodactyla; Camelidae.
GAAGGUAUAGCUCAAAGUGGUAGAGGGCAUGCUUAUCAUGCAUGAGGUCCUGAGUUCAACCCCCAGGACCUCCU